CAGCAGCCGCGGUAAUUCCAGCUCCAAUAGCGUAUAUUAAAGUUGUUGCAGUUAAAAAGCUCGUAGUUGAACUUCGGGGUCUACCCAUUGGUCAGGCUUAAUUGUCUGCACUGGUGAGAUGGAUCUCUACCUUCUGAGGAACUUUCAUGCCAUUUAUUUGGUGUGAUGGGAAAUCAGGACUGUUACUUUGAAAAAAUUAGAGUGUUUAAAGCAGACUAUCGUCUGAAUACAUUAGCAUGGAAUAAUGAAAUAGGACGGACUGAUUCUAUUUCGUUGGUUUCUAGGAUCACCGUAAUGAUUAAUAGGGAUAGUUGGGGGCAUUAGUAUUCAAUUGUCAGAGGUGAAAUUCUUGGAUUUAUUGAAGACUAACUACUGCGAAAGCAUUUGCCAAGGAUGUUUUCAUUAAUCAAGAACGAAAGUUAGGGGAUCGAAGACGAUCAGAUACCGUCGUAGUCUUAACCAUAAACUAU
RNAcentral lists this ribosomal RNA (470 nucleotides) under uncultured Diversispora. RNAcentral's name for it is "SSU rRNA". It matches the Rfam family "Eukaryotic small subunit ribosomal RNA", at positions 568 to 1040 of the family's 1831-position model. The record is from RNAcentral. Lineage: Eukaryota; Fungi; Glomeromycota; Glomeromycetes; Diversisporales; Diversisporaceae.